This 381-nucleotide unclassified non-coding RNA is filed under the name uncultured bacterium. RNAcentral describes it as "contains 16S-23S intergenic spacer region". The record is from RNAcentral.
UCCGACUUAACGUCGGCAGUCUCGUCAGAGUCCUCGGCUCUACCCGGUAGCAACUGGGAGCGGGGGUUGCGCUCGUUGCGGGACUUAACCCAACAUCUCACGACACGAGCUGACGACAGCCAUGCAGCACCUGUGCAGGGACUCCGAAGAGGGGUCCUGGUUUCUCAGGACUUUCCCCUGCAUGUCAAGCCCAGGUAAGGUUCUUCGCGUUGCGUCGAAUUAAACCACAUGCUCCACCGCUUGUGCGGGCCCCCGGCAAUUCCUUUGAGUUUUAGCCUUGCGGCCGUACUCCCCAGGCGGGGCGCUUAAUGCGUUAGCUGCGGCACGGAAGGAGUCGAUGACCUCCCACACCUAGCGCCCAUCGUUUACGGCGUGGACUAC